Molecule: transfer RNA, 72 nt
Filed under: Camelus bactrianus (Bactrian camel)
Lineage: Eukaryota; Metazoa; Chordata; Mammalia; Artiodactyla; Camelidae
Also listed under: 1 other name
Rfam family: tRNA
About the family: Transfer RNA (tRNA) molecules are approximately 80 nucleotides in length. Their secondary structure includes four short double-helical elements and three loops (D, anti-codon, and T loops).
Source: Rfam by way of RNAcentral
GUGGUAAUAGCUCAGUGGUAGAGCUCAUGGUUAGCAUGCACAAGGUCCUGGGUUCUAUUCCUAGUACCCCCA